Molecule: ribosomal RNA, 551 nt
Filed under: uncultured Seiridium
Lineage: Eukaryota; Fungi; Ascomycota; Sordariomycetes; Amphisphaeriales; Amphisphaeriaceae
Description: SSU rRNA
Rfam family: Eukaryotic small subunit ribosomal RNA
Source: RNAcentral
UNGCCCUUUGGAGGGCAAGUCUGGUGCCAGCAGCCGCGGUAAUUCCAGCUCCAAUAGCGUAUAUUAAAGUUGUUGCAGUUAAAAAGCUCGUAGUUGAACCUUGGGCCUGGCUGGCCGGUCCGCCUCACCGCGUGCACUGGUUCGGCCGGGCCUUUCCCUCUGGGGAACCCUAUGGUCUUCACUGAUCGUAGCGGGGAACCAGGACUUUUACUGUGAAAAAAUUAGAGUGUUCAAAGCAGGCCUAUGCUCGAAUACAUUAGCAUGGAAUAAUAAAAUAGGACGUGUGGUUCUAUUUUGUUGGUUUCUAGGACCGCCGUAAUGAUUAAUAGGGACAGUCGGGGGCAUCAGUAUUCAAUUGUCAGAGGUGAAAUUCUUGGAUUUAUUGAAGACUAACUACUGCGAAAGCAUUUGCCAAGGAUGUUUUCAUUAAUCAGGAACGAAAGUUAGGGGAUCGAAGACGAUCAGAUACCGUCGUAGUCUUAACCAUAAACUAUGCCGACUAGGGAUCGGACGGUGUUAUUUUUUGACCCGUUCGGCGCCUUACGGGAAAC